GUUCCCGUCUGUUCUCUGAGACGUGAGGAUUUCCGUGCAUCAGCUCUUGGGGUGUAAACAAUUUUCCACGCGAGGGAAUAUAAUGCAUAAAUACAGAUAUUUCUCGAUACUCCUCGAAUUGAACUUGUUCAGUUUAUCUUUUUGGGAUUUCCUUUCAUUGGAAAAGAAAAAUUUUCCCCAAAACAUCAAAGAACGGAAAAUCGAAGGAUGAAAGAGCGACCAAGCGUAUCUACAGAUAUAUAUAUAUAUCGCAUUGGUUGGUUGGAUUAUAACCUUCAGCUCAUCAUGGGAGUAAACAACUCAAGCUAGCAGCUAGGUGAUUCCUCAGAUGGUAGUCUCGUAAAUUAAAACAAAAGAAAACAAUACAAUCAGUGUCUGGUACUGAUGUAUCAUGCUUAGUCUAUUUUGCACCUACCAAGUUCAAUCAAUGUACACUUUUAUUUCUGUAUAUUUUUGUUUUUCUUUUGAGCAUUAGAAAUCGUUUCACGAAUGAUUCGAAAUGUCUUAAUGGAAUGUAGAUUAGUACUAUACUGCUAAAACCAAUAUACAGCUUUUUCAACAAAAAAAAAAAACUUUGGUGAAGGUUUAGUUGUUUACUAAGCUUGAAAUGCAUUAUAUACAUAUGUAAAUAAUACACAAGGAAAAAAAACCGGAAAAACGUGCAGACAAAGUUGAGGAGAAUUUCAUAUUGUUGUAGCCUGCGUGCAGCCAGACUUUUCUCUCGUAUAGACUUAACAGACAGUUAGAGGCCGGCUGCACGCAGGCUAAUAUUGUUGACCUUUCGCUAAUUGAAUUCACGUCGCCCAUAGUGCAUUUCGGGCAUACAACAUUCAACAAAAACCUUUAUCGAUCUUUCUUGCAAAUAGCUGGAUGCCCGAAGAAAACCUAACGUUAUGUUGAGCAGCACCAGUUUUCGGGCAAAUCUCAAAUAAUAAUGAUGAUAAUAAUAAUAAUAAUAAUAAUAAUGAUAAUGAUGAUGAUGAUAAUGAAUUUAUUUCAAUCGAGGGUAACAGCCUUUACCUUAAUUAAAAUAGAUAAUUUUUAGUUGGUCCUCAAUGAAGAAGAGGAACGUCCCUCAUGGCUUUAGAAAGUGACAAGGCAGCUCGGACAGGUAUCGAAUAGAAAGGGAAAACAAUAUGGUGUUCCUGUAUGUAAUAUCACUUGUGCUGCCGGGGGGUAUUACAUUAUUUAAUCAUCCACUAUACUAGUGCCAUAAUUAUACAUAUAUAUAUAUAUAUAUAUAUAUAUUAUAUAUAGACUUAUAUAUACCAGUAUACAUAUCCACCUCUAUUUACAUCAAGAUAUAUAUUAGUGGAAUUAUUAAGCUCAUGGGUUGCCUAUGGUACAGCAUGCCACAGGGUAACCAGCUGGAAAAAGAGAUUUUAAAAUCUUGCAAACUUUUUCCAAGCAUUUGGCUACAAGGAGAAGAAUGCUUUGGAAGAUCGUUUUUGGGUCGAACGAUCACGUGUUAGAAGAUUCUUUGUUUGAGUUGUAUCCAUAUUCAUGUGUCUUCUUAUGUGCAACCGUUAAGCAAAGAAAUGGUACUGCAGGAAAUGAUAUGUAGAAUAAAUGUCUGACAACGUGCAAAGCAUUCUGGUCGUGGUAGUCAACUAACAAUAACACGUAAACGAACUAAAAUACUCAUACCACAUGUCAUAUCAGUGUCAUGACAGGAUCUCUACACCAACACCCAACAUGUAACGCCAUACCAGUACAUGUCAUAUCAGUGUCAUGACAGGAUCUCUACACUAACACCCAACAUGUAACGCCAUACAUUACAUGUCAUAUCAGUGUCAUGACAGGAUCUCUA
Actinia tenebrosa (Australian red waratah sea anemone) is the source of this 1810-nucleotide long non-coding RNA. RefSeq lists it as uncharacterized. The record is from RefSeq and is a predicted model, not a curated record. Lineage: Eukaryota; Metazoa; Cnidaria; Anthozoa; Actiniaria; Actiniidae.